RNAcentral lists this ribosomal RNA (453 nucleotides) under uncultured Streptococcus sp. Its description in RNAcentral is "bacterial SSU rRNA". It matches the Rfam family "Bacterial small subunit ribosomal RNA", at positions 926 to 1382 of the family's 1533-position model. Lineage: Bacteria; Bacillati; Bacillota; Bacilli; Lactobacillales; Streptococcaceae. The record is from RNAcentral.
CAAGCGGUGGAGCAUGUGGUUAAUUCGAAGCAACGCGAAGAACCUUACCAGGUCUUGACAUCCCGAUGCUAUUUCUAGAGAUAGAAAGUUACUUCGGUACAUCGGUGACAGGUGGUGCAUGGUUGUCGUCAGCUCGUGUCGUGAGAUGUUGGGUUAAGUCCCGCAACGAGCGCAACCCCUAUUGUUAGUUGCCAUCAUUCAGUUGGGCACUCUAGCGAGACUGCCGGUAAUAAACCGGAGGAAGGUGGGGAUGACGUCAAAUCAUCAUGCCCCUUAUGACCUGGGCUACACACGUGCUACAAUGGGGUCGACAAUGGGAAGCAAUACCGCGAGGUGGAGCCAAUCCCCAAACGACCCCUCAGUUCGGAUUGUAGUCUGCAACUCGACUACAUGAAGUCGGAAUCGCUAGUAAUGGCAGGUCAGCAUACUGCCGUGAAUACGUUCCCGGGUCUU